This 291-nucleotide ribosomal RNA is filed under the name Leptalpheus forceps. Its description in RNAcentral is "partial small subunit ribosomal RNA". Lineage: Eukaryota; Metazoa; Arthropoda; Malacostraca; Decapoda; Alpheidae. The record is from RNAcentral.
GGGGUAGUAAACAGAUAUGGGCUCGAAACUUAAAGAAUUUGGCGGUAUCUAAGUCUAGUUAGAGGAACCUGUGCUGUAAACGAUAAACCACGAAUAUCUUACUUUACGUUGAAAUUUCAGUACGUAUACCGCCAUUAUUAGAUAAUCUUUGAAGGGGUUUGUCGGGAUAAAUUGAGAAUUUUGGAUAUUAGGUCAAGGUGCGGCUAAUAGUAAAGUUGACAUGGGUUACAUUGAGAUCAGUUGGUGCGGAUAAGCUUAGUAAAGUGAGUUUAGUAAGGUGGAUUUAAUAGU